This 26-nucleotide ribosomal RNA is filed under the name Diutina rugosa. RNAcentral's name for it is "partial 26S ribosomal RNA". Lineage: Eukaryota; Fungi; Ascomycota; Pichiomycetes; Serinales; Debaryomycetaceae. The record is from RNAcentral.
AUUCUCAAAUCAGGUAGACGUCAGCC